RNA transcript from Neofelis nebulosa (Clouded leopard), 2569 nucleotides. It is a transcript of the gene named ectonucleoside triphosphate diphosphohydrolase 2, with no coding region annotated. NCBI's taxonomy places the organism in Eukaryota, Metazoa, Chordata, Mammalia, Carnivora, Felidae. The record is from RefSeq and is a predicted model, not a curated record. The transcript has 10 exons.
UCCUGGUCCGCCAGUGGGCGUGGCCAGCAGUGGCCUCUGUCCGCGCCCCGCCCUGGGCGCCUACCCCCGGGCCCCGGGUCCCCGGCCUCCAGCUCCCUGCCGCCCCUUCGACGACGCCUGGUGCGCCCGCGCGCCCGCCCAUGGCUGGGAAGGUGCUGUCGCUGCUGCCGCCGUUGCUGCUGGCCGCGGCGGGCCUCGCCGGGCUCCUACUGCUGUGCGUCCCCACUCGAGACAUCUGGGAGCUGCCCGCCCUCAAGUACGGCAUUGUCCUGGACGCCGGCUCCUCGCACACGUCCAUGUUCAUCUACAAGUGGCCUGCAGACAAGGAGAAUGACACAGGCAUCGUGGGCCAGCACAGCUCCUGUAAUGUACGCGGAGGGGGCAUCUCCAGCUACGCAGACGACCCUUCCAGGGCUGGCCAGAGUCUCGUUGAAUGCCUGGACCAGGCACUUCAGGAGGUGCCCAAGGAGAGCCAUGUGCACACGCCCCUCUACCUGGGAGCCACAGCAGGCAUGCGCCUGCUCAACCUGACCAGUCCCGAGGCCUCGGCCAACGUGCUCGCGGCUGUGACCCGGACGCUGACCCGGUAUCCCUUCGAUUUCCGUGGCGCCCACAUCCUCUCGGGCCAGGACGAGGGGGUGUUCGGUUGGGUGACGGCCAACUACCUGCUGGAGAACUUCAUCAAGUAUGGCUGGGUGGGCCGGUGGUUCCGGCCAAGGAAGGGGACGCUGGGGGCCAUGGACCUGGGGGGCGCCUCCACACAGAUCACCUUCGAGACGGCCAGCCCAGCCGAGGAUCCAGCCAAUGAGGUCCGGCUGCGGCUCUAUGGCCAGCACUACUGCGUCUACACCCACAGCUUCCUCUGCUAUGGCCGUGACCAGGUCCUCCGGAGGCUGCUGGCUGGUGCACUCCAGACCCACGGCUUCCACCCUUGCUGGCCGAGGGGCUAUUCUACCCAAGUGCUGCUUCAGGACGUGUAUGAGUCUCCAUGUACCGCGGCCCAGCGGCCCCAGACCUUCAACAGCAGCACCCGGGUCAGCCUGGCGGGGAGCAGCGACCCUGCCCUCUGCCGUGGCCUCAUCUUAGGACUCUUCAAUUUCUCCUCCUGCCACUUCUCCCGAUGUUCCUUUAAUGGCAUCUUCCAGCCCCCAGUGGCUGGGAACUUCAUGGCCUUCUCUGCUUUCUUCUACACCGUGGACUUCCUAAGGUCUGUGAUGGGGCUUCCUGUGGCAACCCUGCAGCAGCUGGAGACAGCCGUAGUCGCCGUCUGCAAGCAGACAUGGAGUCAGCUGCAGGCUAAGGCUCCAGGGCAGCGGGCCCGCCUGCCCGACUACUGCGCGGGGGCCAUGUUCGUGCAGCAGCUGCUGAGCCGCGGCUACGGCUUCGACGAGCGCGCCUUCGGAGGGGUGACCUUCCAGAGCAAGGCCGGGGACACCGCGGUCGGCUGGGCGCUCGGCUACAUGCUCAACCUGACCAACCUGAUCCCCGCCGAGCCGCCGGAGCUGCGCAAGGGCACAGACUUCAGGUCCUGGGUCGCGCUUCUCCUGCUUUUCGCCGCCAUGCUUCUGGCCGCCGUGGUCCUGCUGCUGCGCCAGGCGCGCUCGGCCGGGGGGUCGAGCGCCAUCUAGCGGCGGGCCGGGUCCCGGUUCCCCGUCCCACCCGUGACGCCUCCGCCCACAACGCUGCUCCGGCCGAGACUGGGGGCCGGGCCCACGGGGGACCGGGGUGGGCGAAGGGAGCCACCUCCGGCCCCUGCCUGCCUGCUGCAGCCUUCUCCAGCCUCCAAGCAUGGGAAGGCAUGGUCUUGCCUGUGUCUCCCUGCCCCCGACCUUUCUAGAAAGUGAGUGCAGACACCAUUUCUGUCUGGUCAUUGCCCUGAGGGCAGCGCUUGCUCUGGGGUUUUGAGCCAUUUCACGAGCCCGAGGGCAGCCAGCCGUACUUUUGGGAUUGUGACACAAAGGGCUGAGAAGACGCAUCGGGUGUGGAGGCUCACCCCUGUUCUCUCGGCAAGGUGAGCCGGAGGGAGGUUUCCAGGUGGCAGGGGUGGCUGUGCUCUCUGGAGGCAACCGGUGCGCUGUAAGGGUGUGCAUCCAUAGGUGCGAGCUGCCGUGAGGCCUCGGGGAGCUAAGGGCUGUCACCUAGGGACCGUGGACAGCUCCCAGCCGCUCCAGGUCGCUCUUGCCCCCUGGCGGCCUCACUGAGAGCAGCCGCCCCAUUCCCCCGAGCGGUCACCAGCACCCGCCUGGUUCUGCGAGUGUCCGCUGCACACUGAGGGCCGUGUGUCCCUGAGGGCCCAGGUGCGGACGCACCUGUCCACCCGUGUGCGCCUGGUGUCCCUGUGUUCCUGGGGCUCGCGUCUCCAGGCCCAAGGCAGGUGCCCCGCUCCAGCGGGGCGGAGGUUGGGUGGGAAUUGACAGAGAGGGGACCCGAGGGAAGUGUGUCCCGCGGAAGCCCACCCCAGGCCUGGCCGGGUUUGUGGAGGACACAGAAGGCCCCCGGCUGCAGAGGCCACAGAAGUCGGGGCGCCCCGAGGCCCCGAGCGAGGAGGUGGAAUCGGAACUAGGGGAAG